RNAcentral lists this ribosomal RNA (301 nucleotides) under uncultured bacterium. RNAcentral's name for it is "partial 16S ribosomal RNA". It matches the Rfam family "Bacterial small subunit ribosomal RNA", at positions 509 to 807 of the family's 1533-position model. The record is from RNAcentral.
CAGCCGCCACGGUAAUACAGAGGGUGCGAGCGUUAAUCGGAUUUACUGGGCGUAAAGCGUGCGUAGGCGGCUUCUUAAGUCGGAUGUGAAAUCCCUGAGCUUAACUUAGGAAUUGCAUUCGAUACUGGGAAGCUAGAGUAUGGGAGAGGAUGGUAGAAUUCCAGGUGUAGCGGUGAAAUGCGUAGAGAUCUGGAGGAAUACCGAUGGCGAAGGCAGCCAUCUGGCCUAAUACUGACGCUGAGGUACGAAAGCAUGGGGAGCAAACAGGAUUGGAUACCCGCGUAGUCCCUGUCUCUUAUAC